Molecule: ribosomal RNA, 623 nt
Filed under: Lactiplantibacillus plantarum
Lineage: Bacteria; Bacillati; Bacillota; Bacilli; Lactobacillales; Lactobacillaceae
Description: bacterial SSU rRNA
Rfam family: Bacterial small subunit ribosomal RNA
Source: RNAcentral
GUCGAACGAACUCUGGUAUUGAUUGGUGCUUGCAUCAUGAUUUACAUUUGAGUGAGUGGCGAACUGGUGAGUAACACGUGGGAAACCUGCCCAGAAGCGGGGGAUAACACCUGGAAACAGAUGCUAAUACCGCAUAACAACUUGGACCGCAUGGUCCGAGUUUGAAAGAUGGCUUCGGCUAUCACUUUUGGAUGGUCCCGCGGCGUAUUAGCUAGAUGGUGGGGUAACGGCUCACCAUGGCAAUGAUACGUAGCCGACCUGAGAGGGUAAUCGGCCACAUUGGGACUGAGACACGGCCCAAACUCCUACGGGAGGCAGCAGUAGGGAAUCUUCCACAAUGGACGAAAGUCUGAUGGAGCAACGCCGCGUGAGUGAAGAAGGGUUUCGGCUCGUAAAACUCUGUUGUUAAAGAAGAACAUAUCUGAGAGUAACUGUUCAGGUAUUGACGGUAUUUAACCAGAAAGCCACGGCUAACUACGUGCCAGCAGCCGCGGUAAUACGUAGGUGGCAAGCGUUGUCCGGAUUUAUUGGGCGUAAAGCGAGCGCAGGCGGUUUUUUAAGUCUGAUGUGAAAGCCUUCGGCUCAACCGAAGAAGUGCAUCGGAAACUGGGAAACUUGAGUGC